This 417-nucleotide long non-coding RNA is filed under the name Mytilus galloprovincialis (Mediterranean mussel). The record is from RNAcentral. Lineage: Eukaryota; Metazoa; Mollusca; Bivalvia; Mytilida; Mytilidae.
AAACUCUAUUGACCAUUUAGACUCAUUAUUUGAUGUAAACUUGUGUUGGUUGUUAUAGGUUUCAGGCAAAACAAAAGAAACAAACAAUUAAACGGCUAUUGUGGAUUCAUUAAUUAUCGUUGGAUACCAAAUUUUCUGGAUUUCGUGUUUACAGGUGAACCGCGAAAUUAAAUAUUCCACGGAUGAGAAAUUACCAUAUGCUUGUAUGUAGACUGCGUCAAAACCACGGAAUUGAAUAUCCACGAACAUGCAAGUUUUCCCUAAUCUGCAAAAAUUGGUACCCACGAAAGUAAAUGAAUCCACAGUACUCAGGCUUUAUAAAACGUCACCAGUGUCUGAGGAGAAAGUUGACAAACCAAUGAUAUGUCAAAGAACGUCUCGUUCUUUUUUUUUUUUUAAAGUUUAUCAGGAGAGACC